This 491-nucleotide ribosomal RNA is filed under the name uncultured bacterium. Its description in RNAcentral is "partial 16S ribosomal RNA". It matches the Rfam family "Bacterial small subunit ribosomal RNA", at positions 29 to 506 of the family's 1533-position model. The record is from RNAcentral.
AGUGAACGCUGGCGGUAGGCCUAACACAUGCAAGUCGAACGGCAGCACAGUAAGAGCUUGCUCUUACGGGUGGCGAGUGGCGGACGGGUGAGGAAUACAUCGGAAUCUACUUUUUCGUGGGGGAUAACGUAGGGAAACUUACGCUAAUACCGCAUACGACCUACGGGUGAAAGCAGGGGAUCUUCGGACCUUGCGCGAUUGAAUGAGCCGAUGUCGGAUUAGCUAGUUGGCGGGGUAAAGGCCCACCAAGGCGACGAUCCGUAGCUGGUCUGAGAGGAUGAUCAGCCACACGGGAACUGAGACACGGUCCAGACUCCUACGGGAGGCAGCAGUGGGGAAUAUUGGACAAUGGGCGCAAGCCUGAUCCAGCCAUGCCGCGUGGGUGAAGAAGGCCUUCGGGUUGUAAAGCCCUUUUGUUGGGAAAGAAAAGCAGCAGGUUAAUACCCCGCUGUUCUGACGGUACCCAAAGAAUAAGCACCGGCUAACUUCGU